AUGGCCUCACUUGGAUUUCCAUCCAUAUCCAUACCCAUUCUCUUCUUGAUCACCCUGCUGUCCACUGUACCCACAUCUUCUUCUCCUGGUCCAAGCAAGAGCAAUGGCAGCGACACUGAUCUUGCUGCCCUGCUUGCUUUCAAAACACAGCUCUCCGACCCUCUCCGCAUCCUUGCCAGCAACUGGACCACCAGCACGAAUUUCUGUCACUGGGUUGGUGUCACAUGCAGUCCGCGCCGGCAGCGGGUCACCGCUUUGAAACUGCCAGGCUCCCCCCUCCAUGGAUCAAUCACUCCUCACCUUGGUAACCUCUCUUUCCUCUCCUAUCUCAAUCUCAACAAUACAAAUCUCACGGGCUCCAUCCCCGAUGAUUUAGGACUACUUCGUCGUCUUAAAUAUCUACAUCUCGGAUUCAAUGGCCUAUCAGGUAGCAUCCCAACCACCAUAGGAAACCUCACAAAGCUUCGUGUUCUUUCCUUGCAAGGUAACCAUCUAUCUGGUUCAAUCCCGGUAGAACUGCAGAACCUACAGAGUCUUGGCUACUUCCUUAUCUUCAGGAAUUACCUGAGCGGCUCAAUACCCACCUAUCUAUUUAAUAAUACCCCUCUGAUAACUCACUUGAACAUUGGCAACAACAGCCUGUCAGGACAUAUUCCAUCUUGUAUUGGCUCCUUACCAAUGCUCGAGUCCCUUGUCCUUCAAGCGAAUCGUUUCAGCGGCCCAGUACCUCCAUCAAUAUUCAACAAUUCUAGAUUAACUGACAUCUGGCUUGAACUGAACUACAACUUAGUUGGUCCAAUCCCUAACAACAAAAGUUUUAGUCUGCCAGCGUUGCAAAAGAUCAGCCUGGGCGGCAACAGAUUCACCGGUGAGAUUCCAUUGGGGCUCUCCUCUUGUCUCUACCUCCAAACUAUCUCCCUCGAUGGGAGUUUCUUUGAGGGUGUUGUGCCAACGUGGCUAGGUAAGCUUUCUCAUCUCAGUUUCCUUUCCUUGGGUUGGAAUCACCUUGUUGGUCAAAUUCCUCUUGCACUUAGCAACCUCACUCAGCUAGGUUUACUAGCCCUGCAAGGCUGUAAGCUGUCGGGCUCCAUUCCGGAAGAAUUUGGACAGCUGGACCAACUCACUGUGUUGGAUGUCUCAUACAAUAAACUAGUAGGACCCAUUCCUGCUUCUCUUGGUAACCUCUCUGAAUUAGCAUACCUCCUCUUAAACAAAAAUAUGUUCCUUGGACCGGUACCAGGAACAAUUGGUAGUAUCAACUCUAUGCUUCAUAUUGACAUUUCAGAGAACCGCCUAGUGGGGGGUCUUAGCUUCUUAUCCAGUUUUUCUAGGUUUAGAAAGCUCCAGUUUAUUCAAAUCUCUUCAAAUAAUUUCACCGGUGGCAUUCCUAACUAUGUGGGGAACCUGUCGAGCCAGCUGCAGAUUUUCGCUGCAUCUAAGAACAAUUUUGUUGGUGAACUUCCGGCUAUGAUUUCAAACCUAACAGGUCUUGAAUGGCUAGAUUUUUCAGAGAAUCAGCUGGAUAGCAAGAUUCCAGAAUCCAUUGUGAUGAUGGAGAAUCUCCAGUGGCUUGCCCUGCAUGGAAAUCGCUUGUUUGGGUCCAUCCCACCUCAGAUUGCCAUGCUCAAGAAUAUAGGAAAUCUGUUCCUUUCCAACAAUAAAUUGUCUGGUUCAAUACCGGAGGGGAUUGGUAACCUGACCAAGUUAGAAUACCUGAUACUGUCUGCCAACCAGUUAUCAUCAAUUAUCCCAUCAAGUCUAUUUGAUCUUGACAAUCUCCUCUAG
RNAcentral lists this ribosomal RNA (1785 nucleotides) under Triticum aestivum (bread wheat). RNAcentral describes it as "partial small subunit ribosomal RNA". The record is from RNAcentral. Lineage: Eukaryota; Viridiplantae; Streptophyta; Magnoliopsida; Poales; Poaceae.